Molecule: ribosomal RNA, 369 nt
Filed under: uncultured eukaryote
Lineage: Eukaryota
Description: partial 18S ribosomal RNA
Rfam family: Eukaryotic small subunit ribosomal RNA
Source: RNAcentral
CAAUAGCGUAUAUUAAAGUUGUUGCAGUUAAAAAGCUCGUAGUUGGACCUUGGACCUGGACAGGCGGUCCGCCUCACGGCGAGUACUGUCUUGCUGGGUCUUUCCUCUUGGUGAUCUGUUGUUUCGGCAGCAGGGAACCAGGACCUUUACUUUGAAAAAAUUAGAGUGUUCAAAGCAGGCUCGACGCCGGAAUAUAUUAGCAUGGAAUAAUAAGAUAGGACGUGCGGUUCUAUUUUGUUGGUUUUUGGAAUCGCCGUAAUGAUUAAUAGGGACAGUCGGGGGCAUUAGUACUCACAUGCUAGAGGUGAAAUUCUUGGAUUUUGUGAAGACUAACUUCUGCGAAAGCAUUUGCCAAGGAUGUUUNCAUUA